GGGGGUUCAUGUGGCUUAUGGAUGGACCAAUAGAAGGUAAAAUUCUUGCUUAUAACGAAGAAGAAGACUCUCGAAUUUGUUUGCCAACUCAAUGAAUAUGUAGACAGAGAGCUUCAAAUCUAAGCCUUUGAAACUAAAUCUUCUACGUUCAAUUUAGUACUACGAAAAUCUACAGAUCCUACACGAUAUCAUAUCUACAUAUCCCGCAUUAAUUUUCUUCCUCCUUUUCCAGCUUACAUCAGCAAUUUCCAGCCACCAUCAAUUGCAUCUGUGACAGGGGGCCCAGGGAAAGGGAAGACAUUCCAAUUCCACAUACCUCACCGGAAAACCAAUGCUCCCGACGACACACGUUCGUUGGUUGCCCCGCUCCCGAUCCCCAUUGCUGCCUGCUACGCCAUUCCGUCAUUCCAUGAAAACUACGACGAAGACGAAGACGACGACAACGGCGCUGGCUGAUAACUGAAGCUGCUUGGCGUGGCGGCAAUGAAAACGAUCCCGAAAGCAAGAAUCGCAAAAACAUUCCCCCGGGCGGGAUUUAUGUUUGUCUCGCAAGAGAUUAAAUUCCUUCAGUCAGUCCCGCUAGUAGAUGGUCGGUCCGGUCAUAGCUAUGCAUGGGCCCGGCUUCCCCCGUAGCGAACACAUCGAACACAUGCCUCUCUAAAAGUGUACAUAUACAUAUGAUUAGUAAGUUGGUUGGAAGGCGCACAGCUCGUAUACUUCUAUAUUGGAACUGCCCACUUACGGGGCGCGUUAUCGCCGCCCGGGAAGUGGAUGGCCAUUUAUUUUGCUUUAAUUAAUUGCUUCCAAUCACAUUGUGAGAAGAUGUUGGCGUACCCGUCACCAUGGAUGGCAAGCGCUGUCAUGAUGGUAAUUUUUCCUAUUUUUGUGUGGAAGAUGCUAUCGCGAAAAUUGAAAUGGUAUAACUUUGGUUACCGGGGUUGUAGACGCUUCAAAAUGUUUUUAACAGAAAACCUACAAAAAGCACAACAGGGCAUAUAGUUGAGAAGUAACAGGGCAUUCUGAUAGAAGCCCUCAAGUAGUAUUGACUUAAAAUUAUACGUUCCCGCACUUCUAAGUAACGUUCGAGGGCUGCUGACCUGCCAGACUAAACAUCAGGAGGUCAACACUCACUAAAUUUGUUUGUAUUGCUGUAUAUUCAGCUACAUUUUAUGGUAUCAGAAAAUUUAUCGUCCUUUUAACGACAACUUUGAAACGGAAAGUUUCUGCAAAGGCACUCAAUUGGCUGGCACAGAAACGAACGAACUGCCGCAUGAUGGUCAGUCUCUCCGUUAAGGGAACUUCAGAGCCCAUUAUGGUCCGUUGCACCGGACGGCCGGCCAUAAUCUUCCUGGGAUUUUGAACCAGCACAGUAGAUGUUCAAUAAAUGCAACAACGCCGUGAAAUGCUUUGUUUCGCCUGAAAUCCCUCUGAAACUCACACGAAAUCCGGCAUUCCUCAGGAAACGCCAAGAAACCCCUUGAAAUUCCUAUGAAACACCUUAAAACGCAUCUGGAACUCUCCUGGAACCUGAAAGCCUCUGAACCCCUUGAAACCUUCGAAAAUGUCCUGAAACGUGUCUGAGAGCUCACCAUAAAGCUUGUGAAGCCCCUCUGAGAAUGCCUCUGUAGCUUCCUGAAAUCCUGGUCUCAACAGCCGCGUCAAAACUCUCAAGGAACUCUCGUGGAAGAGUGCGCUAAAUUAUAACUUGCUGCCCAGGUCGCAUAUGAUGUUGAAUAGGAUGCAAAAGUAGGGGCGAUUUACGUACUUUAGCAUCCUAUACAACGCCAUAUGAGACUUUGUGUUAACUGGGUGUUAGCACUCUCCAGGAGCUUCUUUUAGGAUUCCUUAUCCGGAAUUCCUCAAGGAAUUCCCUAGCAGUUUCCCCUGAAAUUUCUUCUAGGAGUUUCUUCUGGAUUUCCUUGGGAGUUCUUUAUAAGAUUUUUUUUAUCCUUAUCUUCAUUUUUGAUGAGACUCUUCUGGGGAUUUAUUUAGGAUUGCUUCAGAAGUCCCCCUGGGAUUCUUCCAGGAACUUCUUCAGAGAUUUCUAAAUAGGUUCCAUCUUCCAUCUGGGAUUCCACCAAGAAGUCCUCCCGAGAUUUCUCCAGAGAUUUCUUCUAGGAUUUCUCAAGUAAUUCCUUCUAGGGCUGUUCUCUAGAUGUUCUGUUUACGGGUUCCUUCUGAAGAUUUCUUCCGAGAGCUUUCCACCAACUUUACUCGGGAUUUCUUCCGGCAUUCCUCCAGAAGUUCUUUCCGAGAUUGUUUCAGGAAUUCCUUCUGAAAUACCUUCGGGGGGAUUCCUUCUGGAAUUCCACCAGGGCUCCUCUAGGAAUUCCAUGCGAGGUUCCUCAAGGGUUCUCUUCUGGGAUUUCUUCAGGAGCUCCAUCUGAAUUUAGAACUACACAAUCCUUCCAGGAAUCCUCCAAGAACUUCUUGAGGGAUUCUUUCAAGAAUCUCUUCCGGAAUUUCUCCAGAAACUACUUCCUGGAUUUCUUCGGGAGCUCCUUCCAGGAUCCUAUUUCAAUAUUCUAUUACAAACUGUUUCCAGUACUUCUUCAGGAACUCCUUCCGUCAUCAAUGUUCGCCGCAACAGUCUCUCGUAGUGGGGACCCCUGAGGAAAGUUAUCCUAAGCUACUGGCAACACCAGAAGUGUCAAUGUCAUUGGCAACACCAGCUUGUCAAUGCAGAGCUGUCAAGUAGGAUUACAUGCGAAAUAAAAUAACAAAAAGACGAGGACUUUUCGGACAAGUUUCGUGUGUAAACAGUGUGCUCCUGGUGGUGGGUUAAAUGCGUCAGAACCAUCACCGAGUUCGAUUUCGAGUUCGUCUAGUACAAGGAGGGCUAGAGUCGAGCAAGGAGUCGAGCUUGAACUUAAGUGUCUCGAUGAGGAGAGGAAGCUCCUUGAGGAAUUAUGCCGUGAGAGCUCCGAAAAGGAACGGGCACUUAAUGAGCGAGAACUUCAGGAGAAACUUGAACGGGAAAGGCAGUUUAUCGCACGGAGACACGAGUUGCUAACUCAGAACGACGGAGAAGAAAGUGGGAGUGUGCGGAGUAUGCGGAGCCAGAGGAGUGCAAAACGUGCAGAGGACUGGGUGAGGCAGACCGGAGCAGCCGAGAAUUCCGGCAAAGUCGUCGAGCCGAUGCCGACGUCAACUUCUGUGAGUACUGGUAAUCUGGGCGAUCCGCAGGUAGUGCACCCAUCCUCAACGCCGUUGAAGCAUGUGGCAGCUGUAGUUUACCCCACUAUCGGCGGCAACAGGGUAGGAGCGGAAUUUGAGGGGAAAUCGAUUCCACGAAUCCUUGGCAGCAUCACUAUCGAAGAUGAAUCCGAGGAAUCUCUCAAAGGCGCAGUCGGUGUAGACGAAGACGAACGUGAUGAAUCACCACUCGUCAAUCUUCAGCCAUACAUAUGAGGAUCUGUUGAAGGUCGAAAAAGUGGUGCACUACAACUGCAGCAGCAAUUGGAUGCGGAACGUCGGGUCAUUCAAAACCUGCAAGAGAUGCACCGUGUGGAUGUCGACACCAGACGUAGCAGGGAAGUCCAUCUCGUAAAUCGAAUUAACAGUCUGUAACAGCAGCACAACGCUGAGCUGAAACUGGUUCGUGAAUCGUGACUCGGAAGCGAAUUUGUGAAAGCAGCAGGAUUGUGAACGGGUGAAACUGAAAUCAAGGAUUGAGAACCUAGAACAGCAGCCCAUCGAGGAGAAGGAACAGAUGCGUACGACGGUAGUAGAUUUGCGCAAUCAACUCGAUCAGCUGAGCGUGAACACGAAGCCAUUCGAGUACGGAAUGAAACGGAGAAGUAGUACUGGGACUUGCACGAGGAGGUUCAUCAAAUAAUCAAUCGAAGCGAAGAUCAGUCUGCUUACGGUGCUUGUUCCUCUCCGUUGCCUCCAGCUCCAGCGUUAGGGUUUGAGCCCAUGAACACGCCUAACACUGCAAGCGUGGACCCUUACCACUACAAUCCUUCGUUCCCUCUUCCUCCACCCGCUCCAAUCUUUUCUACCAUAAACACAUUUGCUACCAUGCCGAGGAUUCAGCCUCAGCUGUUUUCUCAAGCUAUAGUGGCGGCUUACGCGGGCGGACAGUACGAGCCGUCACCACAACAACUCGCUGCAUGACAGGUUGUUACGAAGGAACUUCCAAACUUCUCCGGUGAUCCGAUAGACCGGCCACUGUUCAUAACCAGUUUUCAACACUCGACGAAGACUUGCGGAUACACGAACUCCGAAAAGCUUUUGCGUCUGCAGCGUAGUCUACGAGGCAGCGCGAAGGAAUCCGUAAGCAAUUUUUUGCACCACCCGACAACUGUGCCGCAAGUAUUGUCCACUCUGCAGCAGUUGUACGGACGCCCAGAGCUAAUCGUCAAUAACAUGAUCGCAAAUGUUCGAGCGACACCCCCUACGAAGCCCGAUCGUUUCGAGACAUCUGAAGGCAGUAGGGCUAGAGAAACACCUAGCGAACCCCGUUCUUCUUCAGGAAUUGGUUGACAAACUGCCAACGAUGGUGAAGUUUAGCUGGGCGCUCUACCAAGAACAAGUGCCGGUUGUUGAUUUGAGCGUUUUCAGCGACUACAUGGGGAAGGUAUCUUCCGCUGCAAGCGGCGUGACACAACUGUCCAACCUUCCGCAGAGAGCGGUAAAAGAAGAACGGACUCGCCCGAAAGACAGAUCAUUCGUAAACGCACACGCGCCGAAGGAAAAUCGUGGAGAGUAGGUUGGAAAAACCGUCGCAAACAGUGGAAGAAUCGGGGAUACGAAUAGCAGAAAAACUUGAUCAGUCUGCAACACCCACGGCCACGAAAUAGAGAGCUGCAGUUCGUUCAAAGACUUGGAUUUGGACGGCAGAUGGAAGGCAGUGAAAGUGAACAAGCUCUGAGCAUGGUGUCUUACAUCACACGCGCGGUGGCCGUGCAAAGGGGUGAUCUGCGGAAUCAACGGUUGCCCGAAGCGACACCACGCACCGUUUGCUCCAUUUCGAGCCACCAUCGGCGGCCAAAGAUACUAGCGCAGUGGUUACAGUACAUAGUCAGUUGUCUUCUACCACGCUCUUUCGCAUCCUUCCGGUCACUCUGUUCGGGCGUAAAGGACAAGUCGAUACCUACGCAUUCCUCGACGCCGGAUCAUCCGUGAUGCUCGUAGAGCGAUCUAUCGCUGAUGCGCUUGGAGUCAACGGCGAGCUAGAGACGCUUCACACCGAGUGGACGGGCGGAAUCAACAAAACAAUCGAUGGGUCAGAACAAGUUACGCUGGAGAUAUCCGCUACAAACUGUCGGAAGUGUACACGGUGAAGAACCUCGGAUUACCGCAGCAGACAACAGACUACGAAGAACUGGCUUCGCGAUUCGCUCACCUCGGCAAGCUUCCAAGCUUCGAGUAAAAAGCUUCAAGCGCGCCGUACCGGGUAUCCUUAUUGGACAGAGCAACUCGCAUCUACUGGCUACUCUAAAGUUGCGAGAAGGACAAAUCAACGACCCGAUUGCGACAAAAACCAGGAUUGGAUGGGCCGUAUGUGGCAACCUUCGGAAACCACAAGGGCGAACGAUGCACAGGCAGCUUAGCAUGUUCGCCGAGCCGACUAUCGAAGAUCUUCACGAGUACGUUCGCCGAUUUUUUUAUAUCGAGAGCUUGGGGGUGGUUGUCGUGCCGGCGGUGAAAGGAGCAGAAGAGCAACGUGCGUGCGAAAUUUUGGAGGUUGAACGGCGGUUGAACGGCGAAAAGUACGAGACGUAAUCGUGCUUUGGAAGCACGAUUACGUGGAGUUUCCGAAUAGCCGACCGACGGCAGAAAGAUGAUUCAGACUUCUUGAGAAGCGUUUAGCCAGGAUCCCGGAGCUAUAUAAUGCCGUCCGUUGGCAAGUAGCUAACUUCAAAGCAAAAGGAUACAUAGACAAAGCAUCAGCGGAGGAGCUGGAAGGGUUUGAUCUUCGACGGACGUGGUAUUUGCCGAUUGGAGUAGUCGUCAAUCAAUAGGGGUCUCCAGUUAGCGUAGUGGUUAAGGCUAUGGAUCGCCAAUCCGGAGACGGCGGUUUCGAUUCUCGUUCUGGUCGGGAAAAUUUUCUCGACUCCCUGGGCAUAGUGUAUCAUUGUACUUGCCUCACAAUAUACAAUUUCAUGCAAUGGCAGGCAAAGAAAGCCCUUCAAUUAAUAACUGUGGAAGUGCUCAAAGAACACUAAGUUGAAGCAAGGCAGGCCAAGUCCCAGUUUGGACGUCGAGCCAUGAAGAAGAAGAAGAAGUAGUCGUCAAUGAGAAAAAAAACCGGAAAUUUCGCAUCAUCUGGGACGCCGCAGCGAAAGUCGAGGGAAUAUCGCUGAACUCUGUGCUUCUCACUGGUCCGGAUCUUCUGACCCCACUACUGUCAGUGAUGUUGCCGUAUCGGAAGCGCCAAGUAGCCGUGUCAGCAGAUACCAAGAAAAUGUUCCUGCGAACUCUGAUUCGUGAACAGGAUCGCAGCGCUCUGCUAUUUCCAUGCAGGGCUUCUCCGGAGCUUCCGAUGAACACCAUGGUCUCCGACGUAGCCAUUUUUUGGGGCGGCCUGCUCCCCAGCUCACUCGCAGUUGGUCAAGAACAUGAACGCGGCUGAACACGAAGCGGAGCUUCCACGAGGGGCAGCAGCCAGCGGUAAAGAAACGUCACUACGUGGACGACUACGUGAACAGUUUCGACACGGUAGAAGAAGCAGUGGAGGUAGCGAAGGAAGUAAUUGAGGUAUAUAGAAGAGCAGGAUUCCACAUUCGUAACUGGAUGUCGAGUGACAGUAUAGCGUGCUAGAGCAGUUAGUAGAAGUGAAGCAGAAACUGGCGUAGCCCAUUUCGCCGGACAAGUAGACCUGUUUCGAGCGAGUUUUGAAAAUGGCGUGGAUGCAACAAGAGGACGUUUUCACAUUUUCGCUGCAGCUCUGCGAGAAAGUGCGUUACUUGCUGGGAGAUUCCACUACUCCAACAAAAACGGAAAUGCUGCGACUAGUAAUGAGCAUCUACAAUCCCCUGGGACCAGUGGCGGACUGGCACGGAUUGGGAUAUCAAAAUUCCGCAAGAAGUUGUUGCACGAUGGGUGGAAUGGAUAUCGUUGCUGAUGAAAAUGGACGGACUACGCGUCCUUAGGUGCUAUUUCCCCAAGUUUCAAAUCCCUUGAGUUGCUCGUGUUUGUAAAUGCAAGCGCGCAAGCUUUCGCGGCGGUGGCGUAUUUUCACAUCGUAGAUCAAGGGCAGGUCAGAAUUGCACAGGUUUCAUCCAAAACAAAGGUCGAACCACUUCGCGCACUGUCGAUACCGCGUCUAGAACUGAUGGCGGCAUUGCUGGGAGCUUGUUUGCGGAGGACAAUAUAGGAUAACCAUUCGUUGGAGAUCAGGAAAACCGUUUUUUGGAAUGAUUCGUCGACAGUCUGUGCUUGGAUAAAAUCAGACACGCGUCGAUACCGCCAGUUUGUUGCCUUCAGAGUGAACGAAAUAUUGGAUCUUUCAAAAAUCUAGGAAUGGAGUUGGAUAUCGACGAAGGUCAAUGUAGCGGACGAAGCUACAAAGUGGGGAAGAGGUCCUUUGUGCAACAUAGAAAGCCGCUGGUUCCAGGCACCGGAUUUCCUCUACAGCCCCGAGGCAGAUUGGAUAGCAGUCAAGAUGCCAGCAAAUUACGCAGCUGCUAUUGGAUUACUAUCGUCAUGCAAAUGAAGAAACGAUUGUUAACGAGGCUUGGCAGAAGUUCCACGUGCCACGGCUUCGGGUGGCAAUCCGUUUAGUCAGAAAACGCUGCAUGUGGUGCCAUGUGUACAAGGUCAUUCCUGUUACUCCAAAAAUGGGACAGCUUCCUGCUGUUCGCCUGGAGCCUGGUGAACGACUAUUUACCUACGUGGGCGUGGACAUCUUCGGCGUAUGAUACAAUCGAUCGAGAACAGCUAUGGCAGAUUAUGCACGAAUAUGGAUUCCCGGAUAAACUGAUACGAUUGAUCAAGGCGACGAUGGAUCGAGUGAUGUACGUAGUUCGAGUAUCAGGGACACUCUCGAGCCCCUUCAAAUCUCGCAGAGUGUUACGGCAAGGCGAUGGUCUUUCGUGCUUGCUGUUCAACAUUGCUUUAGAGGGUGUAAUUAGGAGAGCGGGGAUAAACACGAGUGGAACGAUUUUCACGAAGUCCGUUCAGCUGCUUGGUUUCGCUGAUGAUAUUGAUGUUAUUGCUCGUAAAUUUGAGACGAUGUCGAAUAGCAACCCGACUAAAAUGGUUCUCGAGGGUCAUCCGACCGGUACAAGAAUAUGUUACGGGUAUAAAUAUUUGUUACAAUUAAAAGACAGAAUAAUUGUUAAAUGUGUUAUAAAUAUUAUAUUCGUAUGUUGUGUUAUAUGUUUUAUUUUACCUUGUAAAUAUUCCCCGAGUUUUAAUACACAUUUAUAGGGUUCUGACUGAAUAGAGGUAUACAUGAAAUGCAAUCCACUGUUGAUUGCCAACUUUCAGGCUAUUUCGGGCAGAGGUCAAGUACUAGACAUGUAAACCUUUCCCUGCCACGGACUUCAAGUUCUUGAGCUCAAGUAUCGAACCCUGAAACGGGAUGCCCAAUUAGGAUUAGUUUUCCUAGACAAAACCAAGCUAUGAACACAGCAUCAAAUGCUGUGAACUAAAAGGCAAACUGCCAACUAAAAUACAAUUCCAGGAUGACUGAUGGACACAAACCCUUACAUGAAACCUCGUCAUCCUGUGAUCGGAAGAUGUUAUCCAUCUGGAUAACAGGGCACAUUUAUGUUUUGUGUUGUGCUGUGUCCACUUGUGACGUUUCUUGUUUGUGCAUUUAUAAGGUUCUAUGUGUUAUGAUAUGCUAAUACUUUGUAAUAAUUAAUUUCUUUUAUGUUUGUAACAUGGCGCCCAACGUGGGGCCCUUGCAUUUGUAGGGUUCCAUGUUGUAUUUUUGUAACAUGGCGCCCAACUAAAAAACCCCGUACAUACAAAUGAAAGCUAGUUGGAAGGAUUAUAACUUCAGUCUUAAGGCCAUUUUAUUUUUGUGGACAGUUAACCUCCAUAAAAGUAAAGUUUAGUUUAGGUUAGAUUAAUUCGUUACAUGAUUUGGAGAGCAGUUUGGCUUUCGGGUAACAAUCUUUAGUUUAGAGUUGAGGUGUUUUCUGGGGACUUGUUAGUCCUGUUCACCGCUACGUUUCUGGAAAGCAUUGUGGCUUUCGGGUAGCAUAACUCGUUUUGGUUUUGUUUUGAGUUUAGGUUAAGUUAUUUAUCUUUAUCGUAGUGUUAAGUAUAUGGCCUUAACACUAUUGUUAUGAAGGAUAUGAAGCAUAUGGGAGCUGAAUUUUUCGUGAAUCGGUGAACGAUUCACGAAAAAUUCUUGCUCAAACGUUGGAUUGUGUUACGGGUAUAAAUAUUUGUUACAAUUAAAAGACAGAAUAAUUGUUAAAUGUGUUAUAAAUAUUAUAUUCGUAUGUUGUGUUAUAUGUUUUAUUUUACCUUGUAAAUAUUCCCCGAGUUUUAAUACACAUUUAUAGGGUUCUGACUGAAUAGAGGUAUACAUGAAAUGCAAUCCACUGUUGAUUGCCAACUUUCAGGCUAUUUCGGGCAGAGGUCAAGUACUAGACAUGUAAACCUUUCCCUGCCACGGACUUCAAGUUCUUGAGCUCAAGUAUCGAACCCUGAAACGGGAUGCCCAAUUAGGAUUAGUUUUCCUAGACAAAACCAAGAUAUGAACACAGCAACAAGUGCUGUGAACUAAAAGGCAAACUGCCAACUAAAAUACAAUUCCAGGAUGACUGACGGACCCAAAUCAAUAAAUGAAACCUCGUCAUCCUGUGAUCGGAAGAUGUUAUCCAUCUGGAUAACAGGGCACAUUUAUGUUAUAUGUUGUGCUGUGUGGAUUUGUGAUGUCUGUAUAAUGUGCAUUUGUAAGGUUCUCUGUGUAUCGUGAUACUUUGUAAUAAUUAAUUUCUUUUAUUUUUGUAACAAAUACGGGGAGCGCAGCGAGCUAGGUGGGUCGACCAAGUGGAGGACGAUCUGUGGAUCCUUCGCAGAGUGCAGAACUGGCGACAUACAGCCAUGGACCGAGUUGAAUGCAGACAGUACAGCAGAGGUCACUCAGGUCUUAGUCUGACCGGUAAGGCUCAAGUGAGACUAAAGAAGGGCAGCCGAUUGCCUCGGAGAAACCCAAGGUUCACUGCACCAUUAUUUCUCCAGUUAGCGCAGUGAGGGCAACAUACUGUGGAGGGCGCUCUGGUACUCCACAGGUAAUUGCAGCAGUUGGUGGGGCAAUAAGAGCGCAAGUCAAUCCAAUGCCGAAGAUCAAGAAGGGGUAAUGGCCGUAAUAGUCCGUGCGGACCACAUGAACACCAUCGGAAGGGUAAUGGUAUAGGUUGGGGAAAGGUAUUGGACUAGACUUGAGACACAAUAAUGCAAAUACGGUAGAAAGUGUGAAAUUGGUUUCUGUAGUAAGGUUCAUGUAGUAUGUUAGGUCCUUGUCAAUUUGUCAGUUAGUUGCCUUAGAUUCCCAAACUUAAGUAGCGUUACUGUUUUGCCCCAUAUCAAAUAUGUAGUCUCUACUCUACUCUACUGAAGUGUUAUAUUAAGUUGUUAUGUUCAGUAUGUCAGUAAUUGCUGGUCAUAAUGUUUUUGCGUCAUUUAUUGCAGAAUAUUAUUUAAGAUAAGAAGUAAUUUUCAUCAAAAAUGUCCAGACUAAUUGUUCUCAUUGAUAACGCAUUAGCUUCAUAACUAAUAAUCAUUUACACCUAACAGGAUUCGCUCCUAGAUCCUGGCAAUAUACGGCUAAAUCUUCGAAUUGUUCUGUCAGUCCUACUAGUUUUUCUUGUAGAAAACAUGUCACUCCCUCACUUUUCAUAUAAUACCAACAUUUAAAAACGUUAAAUUAUCUUCCUUGUCAUACAUAAGUAAUGUUGUCCAGCUUAGUCAAAGAAGUAGAUAAUCAGUUUUCGUCGAGUCGAGACGCAUUGACGUUAACAAAGCAUUUCACGCGUUAGCUUCGGAACUAUAAGCAAAAUUAAGUGUUGCAACUCACGCCGGGAGUUAGUAUGGACUUGAAAAUAUCAAUGCUAUUCGGCUGCAAAAUUCGACGAGAUAAAAAAGUUCCACAAAUUUGCAAAAAAAGGAGAACUAGAGCUUUUGAAAAGAAGAAAACUUGCGUACACGUAACGUUAGUUAAAUUUUCAUUUACAAUGCGAAAAACCGAAGUACAAUUUCUCAUCCACUUAGUUUCCUGAUAAAUUCUUGUUUCCCGCCGUAUGUUAGUUAUUUACCUUUGCACGCUUAGAAUUCAGGUUCCAUGGAGAGUAUUUUACAUUUGGUUACUUACAUAUGUCGAUGAUACUUCCCCCAUAGAUUGUGUUUGUUAGCUUCUGGUUGUCUUUCGAAGAUCUUCCAUAUGUUAAUCUGUAAAUGCUUGUGCUCAUGCACCGUUCAUGUUCCGCAAGGAUUCGAACCAUGCAACAUUUUAUAGAGAAAAACAAGGCAGGAAAAAUUGAUUAAUAAUUUUUAUGUGUAUAGUGUUUAUGUUAUGAAUAAUAGCAGUAAUUGUUUUAGUAUUAGUGUGUAUGUGAUCAAACAGGAAAAAAUCGUCACGAAUAUCAAUCAUAAUUUAAUGUAAUUGAUGAAUAAUAUUAAUUAUAUUUCCAAGAAAAUAAAAUAUUUUGUAUUUGCAGCAUA
Molecule: long non-coding RNA, 11631 nt
Organism: Aedes albopictus (Asian tiger mosquito)
Lineage: Eukaryota; Metazoa; Arthropoda; Insecta; Diptera; Culicidae
Exons: 3
Source: RefSeq, a predicted model, not a curated record